Mus musculus (house mouse) is the source of this 1327-nucleotide long non-coding RNA. RefSeq annotates it as predicted gene, 53325. The transcript has 3 exons. The record is from RefSeq and is a predicted model, not a curated record. Lineage: Eukaryota; Metazoa; Chordata; Mammalia; Rodentia; Muridae.
AUAAUUCCAGAUGCCCAGGUGGAGAAGUGUCUAGAAGAGGUCAGCAGGUGGAUGUGCUGUCAUUAAUCACUUGCAGACAGCUGGUCCUAGAGUUCUUCCAGCCCUGCCCUGCCCUGCCAUGAUCUACAGCGUCUACUGCAACAAGUGAUGCAGGCAGAACCUGACAAUGGAGCUCAGGAAACAAGACGCUACUCACCUCUGCUGCCUGUGCCCUAGGUGGACCCGACUGGACGGAUAUGAUUCUCUUAAGUCACAGAACUUUGAGAUGUUUUUCUUGGUUCUCAGAGUACUUCACAUCUGCAGAUCAGUUUGCAAGCUUGCAUCUUUCUGAAGACCAGUAACUAACUAUCCACAAGCCCCAAGUGUGUACACAUAGGCAAGUGGAAUUGCUGUGGAAUGCAUGAGGUAAAUCGAUUCGCACCUACAAUUUACAUUUCUUCUCGGGUAUGUCUGACACUAAUGUCAUGACUGAAGGACUGUGAUGAAGAUUAAUUGCAUAAACACUUUUUGCUGAUUUUGUAAGCAGCCAUGUUGGUUGUCAUAUUUUAUUUUUCAAGCCUGGUGCCUAAUAGUCGGAUGGGGAGCGUUUCUACUUUUUUCCCCAGCAAUUUCAUAGAUGAAGUGUCCCAAAGCAAUCUUGCUUAACAAACUGGGGCAAGGUGUCUGCCAGCCUAGGUGUUCUAGCUAAAUAGACGGUGCAGCAAGAGGCCAAAGGCCACUCAACUCAGUUUCAAGAAUUUCAUAAACAUUUGGAUUUGGGCAGGAUUCCCCAAAAUAAAAUCUGUCACUGGAAUGGAGCUUAAGACAUCUGCUCACAGCAUAGUGGCACCUUGAAGUUUCAGCGAAAUCCUAGGAAGUGGUUGCAUGGUCACGUGGUCACAGUUCUUAAAAUGCCUCCAAAUGUUCUUGCUGUUGGAUUUCCUGUCUGUGCCCAGAAACGGGGUACCUACACCCACACAUUUCUGUGCCUACUGCGCCACACCACACAUCCACUUCUGCUUUCAGCCCUUGUGGAGACUGAGCAAGAAGUUUAACUGGUCUAUUUUAUACUAAACAUAGACUCACUAAUGACACAGUGUGCUAGAUCAGGGGAAGAGACGAGUAGACAGCUGUGUCCAGCUUUCAACCUCAAGAGGAAAUGUUGUCAUCUACAAAGCUCACAAUGGAGAACUAAGCAAUCCCCCUUGUGAAAAAAAAUUUGCAAGAAUACGUCAUAAUAUUUUAAUUAUGUUUAUGAUUUUAUUUUAGAUGGCAUUCAUAACAUCCAGACACUAGCCAGCAGUAGGCCAAACCCAAGCCACUAUUCUGUAAAUAAAGUUUUAUUGUC